RNAcentral lists this ribosomal RNA (281 nucleotides) under uncultured bacterium. RNAcentral describes it as "partial 16S ribosomal RNA". It matches the Rfam family "Bacterial small subunit ribosomal RNA", at positions 30 to 303 of the family's 1533-position model. The record is from RNAcentral.
AUUGAACGCUGGCGGCAUGCUUUACACAUGCAAGUCGAACGGCAGCAUGAUGUGUAGCAAUACACGUUGAUGGCGAGUGGCGAACGGGUGAGUAAUAUAUCGGAACAUGUCCUGUAGCGGGGGAUAACCUAUCGAAAGAUGGACUAAUACCGCAUACGCUCUACGGAGGAAAGGCGGGGGUCGCAAGACCUCGCACUAUAGGAGUGGCCGAUAUCGGAUUAGCUAGUUGGCGGGGUAAAAGCCCACCAAGGCGACGAUCCGUAGCUGGUCUGAGAGGAUGA